RNAcentral lists this transfer RNA (71 nucleotides) under Patescibacteria group bacterium. RNAcentral's name for it is "tRNA-Gly". It matches the Rfam family "tRNA". From Rfam's summary of the family: Transfer RNA (tRNA) molecules are approximately 80 nucleotides in length. Their secondary structure includes four short double-helical elements and three loops (D, anti-codon, and T loops). Further hydrogen bonds mediate the characteristic L-shaped molecular structure. tRNAs have two regions of fundamental functional importance: the anti-codon, which is responsible for specific mRNA codon recognition, and the 3' end, to which the tRNAs corresponding amino acid is attached (by aminoacyl-tRNA synthetases). tRNAs cope with the degeneracy of the genetic code in two manners: having more than one tRNA (with a specific anti-codon) for a particular amino acid; and 'wobble' base-pairing, i.e. permitting non-standard base-pairing at the 3rd anti-codon position. The record is from RNAcentral.
GCGAGAUUAGUUUAACGGUAAAAUAACAGUUUUCCAAACUGUGGUCACGGGUUCGACUCCCGUAUCUCGCA